GGAGAGGUGGCCGAGCGGUCUAAGGCGGCGGCUUGCUAAGCCGUUGGGGAGGGUAAAACCUCCCCCGUGGGUUCAAAUCCCACCCUCUCCG
RNAcentral lists this transfer RNA (91 nucleotides) under Candidatus Caldipriscus sp. Its description in RNAcentral is "tRNA-Ser". It matches the Rfam family "tRNA". Rfam says of the family: Transfer RNA (tRNA) molecules are approximately 80 nucleotides in length. Their secondary structure includes four short double-helical elements and three loops (D, anti-codon, and T loops). Further hydrogen bonds mediate the characteristic L-shaped molecular structure. tRNAs have two regions of fundamental functional importance: the anti-codon, which is responsible for specific mRNA codon recognition, and the 3' end, to which the tRNAs corresponding amino acid is attached (by aminoacyl-tRNA synthetases). tRNAs cope with the degeneracy of the genetic code in two manners: having more than one tRNA (with a specific anti-codon) for a particular amino acid; and 'wobble' base-pairing, i.e. permitting non-standard base-pairing at the 3rd anti-codon position. The record is from RNAcentral. Lineage: Bacteria; Candidatus Caldipriscota.